AUGAACGCUGGCGGCGUGCCUAAUACAUGCAAGUCGAGCGAACGGACGAGAAGCUUGCUUCUCUGAUGUUAGCGGCGGACGGGUGAGUAACACGUGGAUAACCUACCUAUAAGACUGGGAUAACUUCGGGAAACCGGAGCUAAUACCGGAUAAUAUUUUGAACCGCAUGGUUCAAAAGUGAAAGACGGUCUUGCCGUCACUUAUAGAUGGACCCGCGCUGCAUUAGCUAGUUGGUAAGAUAACGGCUUACCAAGGCAACGAUGCAUAGCCGACCUGAGAGGGUGAUCGACCACACUGGAGCUGAGACACGGUCCAGAAUCCUACGGGAGGCAGCAGUAGAGAAUCUUCCGCAAUGGCCGAAAGCCUGACGGAGCAACGCCGCGAGUGUGAUGAAGGUCUUCGGAUCGUAAAACUCUGUUAAUAUGAAUGAACAUAUGUGUAGGUAACAGUUCACAACUUGACGGUACCUAAUCAGAAAGCCACGGCUAACUACGU
Molecule: ribosomal RNA, 495 nt
Filed under: uncultured bacterium
Lineage: Bacteria
Description: partial 16S ribosomal RNA
Rfam family: Bacterial small subunit ribosomal RNA
Source: RNAcentral